This 199-nucleotide unclassified non-coding RNA is filed under the name uncultured Agaricales. Its description in RNAcentral is "sequence contains ITS2". The record is from RNAcentral. Lineage: Eukaryota; Fungi; Basidiomycota; Agaricomycetes; Agaricales.
AAUUCUCAACCAUCCCAGCUUCUUCUGGUGUGGCUUGGACUUGGGAGGAAUUUGCAGGCUUCUUUCGUGUUGCCGGCUCUCCUGAAAAGCAUUAGUGGUGUCUAUCUGACUACUAGAGGUGUGAUAACUGUCUAUGCCUCGGUGAUAUGAUUGUGCACGCUGCUUCUAACCAAACUUGGGAGUGGGGCCUUUUAUUGAU